RNAcentral lists this transfer RNA (72 nucleotides) under Camelus bactrianus (Bactrian camel). It matches the Rfam family "tRNA". From Rfam's summary of the family: Transfer RNA (tRNA) molecules are approximately 80 nucleotides in length. Their secondary structure includes four short double-helical elements and three loops (D, anti-codon, and T loops). The record is from Rfam by way of RNAcentral. Lineage: Eukaryota; Metazoa; Chordata; Mammalia; Artiodactyla; Camelidae. RNAcentral also lists the same sequence under 2 other names.
GGAGGUAUAGCUCAGUGGUAGAGCACAUGGUGAGCAUGCACGAGGUCCUGGGUUCAAUCCCCAGUACCUGCA